CUUUUUCAAACGUCAGUUUUAAUUCAUUGUUUGGAACCAGCAAGUACCCAACAGUUUAGUCUAAACCUAAGUUUUAACCAAGAAAGUAUUCAUUGUAUGUGCUACCAAGGAAAUACGGUGGUUUGUCAGAUAGCACACUAACUAGCGUCAGCAUCACUAAUGGUGACAGACGGUUGCAAAGCUCUAGCAAAGGACUCCCCAGUGAGUCAGAGGCCUAUCAUCCAACUGCCUGCUUACCAGCUUUCCUUCCUGUGAGUCACUUUAAGGAACGCAACUUCUUUCUGUUUUCACCUUUCCUCUGCUCCAAUCAGUGGCUGUUAAAGCCACAUUAUAAUUCUGCGAAGUAUUAAUAGAUAUGACUGGGUCUCUCCAGGACAGCUCUUAGAAUGGAAGUAGGAGAAUGGACAUAAAAGAAGAUGCUCAUUUACCAAAUUGGAGAUGUCCCCUGCUAUUCUUUCUCUGAGAGCUGUUGACCAUGAGAAUGGACUUUGUACAAACUCUGUUUUAGUAGAUGUGGCAGUCAUCUCUCCUCCCCCAUGGUUGCUCCAUUUUCAUCCCCAUCAGCAGUGUCUAUGGAAGAGUUCCAGCUUCCACAAGCUCACCAACACCAGCUAGAACUCCAGUCUCUGGACCGGCACUGCCCUCAUCCAGGAUAGCACUUCUCACCUCACCUCAGUUAAGCCUUUCAGGAAACACCAUCAUGGACACACUGCAGAGGUGAGUUUGGAUAUUUUGGACCAGCAAGAUGGACCAGUGAGUAAAGGUACUUGCUGCCAAGCCUGAGGACCUGAGUUUGAUUCCCCAGGAACCAUACAGUGGAAGGAGAGAAUUGAUUCCCACAAACUGUCCUCUGACCUCCACAUGGACACUGUGAUACAUGAUG
Non-coding RNA from Cricetulus griseus (Chinese hamster), 883 nucleotides. NCBI's taxonomy places the organism in Eukaryota, Metazoa, Chordata, Mammalia, Rodentia, Cricetidae. The record is from RefSeq and is a predicted model, not a curated record.